AAAAUUUGUUUAAAAAUCUACCCUAACAUGAUACUCUCAAAACAAGCACAUUAUACUCUAUAAUAUCUUAGCAAAUUCAUAAGACCACUAAGAAACAGAUCAAUUUGCAUCUUAUCUAUAAUCUCCCAGAACAUAGAAGAAAAUACCUUCUAAUUUUUUUCUUGUGGUUAUAUCACAUACAUGAGGUAGUAAUAUACAAGAAAAAAUAAUAGUCAAGAAGAAAAUUACUAAUCAUCCUCACGUGUGAUUGAUGCCAAAAUCUGAAACAAGACAUUUGUAACCAGAAUUCAGCAGUCUGUUCUAAAAAUUCACAACAUGAGCAAGUAGCAUUUAUUCUGUUAAAGGUAGCUCAGCACUCAGCUAUCUGUAAUAUUAAAUCCAAUAUAUCAAGAAAUCAAUAUGAUCACUUCCAUACAUUUCAACGUGGCAUUCAAUGAUUCAGUGUCCAUUCCUAACAAAUGAGAAAUGGAUCUAUGUGUCCUCAACAUGACUCUGCACACACACACAUAGACACAUGCAUAAGUACCAGGAUCAUACAAGUAAUGUUGAAAACAUCUCCAUCAGAGCCAGGAACCAUACAGAGAAGUCUACUAUUUAUAUUAUCAUAAUUAUUUAUCAUUUUGCUAGUGGUACAUGCUAAUCUAAUUAUAAGAGGGGAAAAUAAAAGAAGAAUACAAAUUAGAGGGAUUGAAGGUAUCACUUUGGAAAGAUUACAUUAUUAUAUUCGUAAAAAUUCUAGAAUGAUUGAUUGUAAAACGUUAUAAACCAUAGAGAAACAAACAUGACAACUGAGUAUUUGAAAUCAAGAGACUUCAAUAUGUAAAAACAACAUCAAUUAGAAUAAAUUAUUGAUUAAAAAGCACAUUUACAAAAAGUGACUGUAGCACUUUUCCCAAGUCAGUCAAAAAUGUCUCUAGACAUUAACCAAUAUUCCUUGGGAGCAAAAUCCACUCUGAUUUAGAACCACUGAUCUGAGUGUCCCUCAGUAAGAGCAUUAAAUAAAGUAUGAUCUAAUUGAACAAUGAAAUAAUAGAACUAAAAGAGAACAAUGCAGUUCUAUUAGAACUGAAAUGGAAAGCACUCUAGAUCGUAUUGUUAAACAAGCCAAAUAAGGUUUGGAACGGUGUGGAGAUUGUUUUUUAUUAGUUAUUUUAUGUGUUUGAAAGAUUUAUUAAAUGGAAAAUGAUUAGGGAUAUCUGCACACAUGUGCUGCUUGGGUAUGCAUAGAUUAUUCCUGGGAGAACAGAGAAACAACUGUCAAGAGAGGGCAAGUAGGAGCUGGGGUUGUGGCUCAGCAGCAGAGGACUCGUCUAGGAUGCAUGAGGCACUGAAUUCAAUCCCUGGCACCACAUAAAGAUAAACAACAAAAAAGGUUCCUAUAAAAAAAAAAAGAGAGAGAGGGCACAUAGGUCGAUGGAGGCCAAAAGAGGGAGGAGGGUGAUGACCAACAUUGCUGCAGGCUCCUCAUCUUAACAGAGCCCCUGAUAUGCCUGGAGAAAGUUUAGAGUGAAUUGAGACAGGUAGAAUCCUGGUGGACACAUGGAAACAAACUUGGCUAGUUGUCUAAGUGAUAUCCAACACAAAUUGUCUCGUGGAUCUCCUAUUGACCACAAGAUUGAUGCUGGCCUCGUGGGGGCAAACAAACCAUGGAAAUAAGCUCCAUUGAAGCAAAUGUUUUCAACCACUUGG
RNAcentral lists this long non-coding RNA (1689 nucleotides) under Marmota monax (woodchuck). The record is from RNAcentral. Lineage: Eukaryota; Metazoa; Chordata; Mammalia; Rodentia; Sciuridae.